This 486-nucleotide ribosomal RNA is filed under the name uncultured bacterium. RNAcentral describes it as "partial 16S ribosomal RNA". It matches the Rfam family "Bacterial small subunit ribosomal RNA", at positions 30 to 507 of the family's 1533-position model. The record is from RNAcentral.
AUUGAACGCUGGCGGCAUGCCUUACACAUGCAAGUCGAACGGCAGCACGGGUGCUUGCACCUGGUGGCGAGUGGCGAACGGGUGAGUAAUACAUCGGAACAUGUCCUGUAGUGGGGGAUAGCCCGGCGAAAGCCGGAUUAAUACCGCAUACGAUCCACUGAUGAAAGCGGGGGACCUUCGGGCCUCGCGCUAUAGGGUUGGCCGAUGGCUGAUUAGCUAGUUGGUGGGGUAAAGGCCUACCAAGGCGACGAUCAGUAGCUGGUCUGAGAGGACGACCAGCCACACUGGGACUGAGACACGGCCCAGACUCCUACGGGAGGCAGCAGUGGGGAAUUUUGGACAAUGGGCGAAAGCCUGAUCCAGCAAUGCCGCGUGUGUGAAGAAGGCCUUCGGGUUGUAAAGCACUUUUGUCCGGAAAGAAAUCCUUGGCUCUAAUACAGUCGGGGGAUGACGGUACCGGAAGAAUAAGCACCGGCUAACUACGUG